UAUCGAUUUUCCUAAUAAACUUACUGAGAGCACGCUAACAUUUUGUUUGUUUUAUUGCUCAUGUUGAGCUUGGAAACGUACUAAAGUGUCAGAACCUGCCUCUGUUUUCCAGGCACAUCCGUAAAGGUGCGAAACCUGCACACCAUGAUACACCAGCAACAACAACAACAAUCGUCCUCCCAUCCACCGUUGAACCCAAUAGGCAACUAUAAUAUCUACUCCCAAAUGAAGAUGGUUCCUGACGGUUACAACAACUUUGCCCCACCAGUUCCAACGAUGUCUCUGGAGGAAUCACCUGCCGUGCUGGGUUUCACGUUUCCACUGGCCGUGGAAAACGACAUAGACCGGCUAGAGGUGGCGGUGCGGCAGAGCAACUUGAUUCGGGGACAAUAUGUGCAAUAUCUGAAUGCGACAAAACCCGUCCAGAUGAGUAUCGUGCAAUCGUUCAACAAAUUCUUCUCCGACUACUCGAUGACCAACUUCAGCUACUACGGUGUGGAACGGGCCGAGUAUCCCAAGACCCCGAAGAAGGCCAUGAAAAAGUAUAACGUUUUUACAACGUGCAUGCUAGAUGCCUGGCAAUCGCAUGGAAUUACCAGUAUUAUCCUUGUGGAACAGUUGAAGAAAGCAAUCUAUCACAUAAGCCGAAGGCGGUACACUCGCAAUCAGGUGCUCAAGAAGAAGAUGAGACUUCUGCAAAGGAUUUGAUCCGUUUUAUCCGCACAAAUGUUUUUAAGUUUAUAAAAUAAAAUUAUAUUUUUCUGCUUCCUACAAACUGGUACUUUCGAAAAACUCUUCCACCCCGCCCACCAUUCAGCCAGGUAAUAUUCUAUUGAAUCGGGUCAACGUGCCGGUGCCGGUGAAAACUUCUGCACUUCAGCGCAGGAAAGGUUCCUUGCAAGGGGUCGUUGGAUUCGAAUUUCCUUUGGUUCAUGAACACGACGUCGAACGAUUGGAAGAGGCCAUCAUGGACGACACAGUUCGGGAACAGUAUAUUAGCCACCUGUCGGUGAAUAAGACGUCCACAAUGGAUCUGGUGGAAUGUUUCUCGCAAUUUUUCUCCGACUCGGCAAUGCGAAACUUCAACUGGAACGGAUUUUCGAACCAUCGCUUCCCGAAGAAGGCCAUGCGGAACUACAAUAUCUUCACCAACUGUAUGAUGGGUAAGUUUCCAGCAACGUCGGGAGCGGGAGUUUUCGUUAGUAGUUCCCAAAGGAGAACUUUGUCUCGCCCGUGUAGCUAAUAGCCAAGGAGAACGAAAGCAGGACAGUACAAAGGGGGUCACUCACUGCGGUGGCCAUCGCGAUUUUCUAGGUUACUAGGGGGUCCGAUAAAAGAGUCAAUCUCCUCCCUCUAGCUAAUUAUUAAGGCGAAUCCUCCAGGAUUUCCUUCGGGAAAUCCUCCAGGAUUUCCUUCGGGGAAUCCUCCAGGAUUUCCUUCGGGGAAUCCUCAGGAU
Aedes albopictus (Asian tiger mosquito) is the source of this 1456-nucleotide RNA transcript. RefSeq lists it as uncharacterized. The transcript has 5 exons. The record is from RefSeq and is a predicted model, not a curated record. Lineage: Eukaryota; Metazoa; Arthropoda; Insecta; Diptera; Culicidae.